RNAcentral lists this long non-coding RNA (304 nucleotides) under Malus domestica (apple). RNAcentral's name for it is "long non-coding RNA (MDOM_LNC016990)". The record is from RNAcentral. Lineage: Eukaryota; Viridiplantae; Streptophyta; Magnoliopsida; Rosales; Rosaceae.
AUUUUUUAUUUUUUUUUUUUCAUUAAUUUUAAAUUUUAUCUUUUUUUUUUUUUUUUAAUUUUUUUUUUUAUGUAAAUUAAUGUAAAGAGACUUUGGUUAACCUUCCCCCACACUUAAACUAAAUAACACAAACUCACAUAAAUCAACCAAAUAACACAACUAACUAAACAAAACAAAAUGAAAGCAGUAAAGAUAAGGGUGGAAGAAUGCAAAGCUGAUUGGGUUAGUGAUUCCAAAGUCUCUCUUCGUUGAAUGCUUGGGUUGCCUCCCAAGAAGCGCUUGAUUUAACGUCUUUAGCCGGACG